CUUCGACGUAAUGUAUUGUGGUGUCGUUAUCACAAUUAUCAACUGGAUACGACGGUGGAUGACCGACUUUAAAGCUGACAACGUUGUCUGGUUGUUUAGUAAAAAGGUCUAGAUUAUCGAAUGCCGACUCAAUUUUGCACUGGAUUUCCUGGUGAUAAUUGGAUGGUGUCUUCCCUGGUUUUAGUGGUUUCUUUCCAUUGUUAAACAUUGUCCUCUACCAUUCUACAAUUAUAUGAAGAGUUUAUAUAAAAAAAAAAAACCAUACAUUAACAAUAACACAAAAAAAACUUUUUAAAAAUACAAACAGAAACAAAAAUUCCC
Molecule: long non-coding RNA, 321 nt
Filed under: Mytilus galloprovincialis (Mediterranean mussel)
Lineage: Eukaryota; Metazoa; Mollusca; Bivalvia; Mytilida; Mytilidae
Source: RNAcentral